RNAcentral lists this ribosomal RNA (479 nucleotides) under uncultured bacterium. Its description in RNAcentral is "SSU rRNA". It matches the Rfam family "Bacterial small subunit ribosomal RNA", at positions 26 to 521 of the family's 1533-position model. The record is from RNAcentral.
AGGACAAACGCUGGCGGCGUGCGUAACACAUGCAAGUCGAACGCUCUGGUCUCUUUCGGGAGAGCAGGGAGUGGCGGACGGGUGAGGAACACAUGGGUAUCUACCUCCGGGUGGGGGAUACCGGCGAGAAAAUCGCCGACAAGACCGCAUAGGCUCGAUGCAAGUCGAGCAAAGCUCUUUCGAGAGAGGGAGCGCCACACGAGGAGCCUGCGCCCGAUUAGCUAGCUGGUGGAGUAACGGUUCACCAGGGCGACGAUCGGUAGCUGGCUUGAGAGAGCGACCAGCCACACUGGGACUGAGACACGGCCCAGACUCCUACGGGAGGCAGCAGUGAGGAAUUUUCCGCAAUGGGCGAAAGCCUGACGGAGCGACGCCGCGUGUGGGAAGAAGGCCUUCGGGUCGUAAACCACUGUCGAAGGGAAGAUAUUGACGGUACCCUUGGAGGAGCCCCGGCUAACGUACGCGCCAGCAGCCGCGGU